AAAAUGGGUUAUCUGACCCAUACCCAUUUUUUAAUCAAAUCAUUAGCAAUUUGAACCACGUUAACCCAUAUACAAGCAUCACUUUGUAACUUCCUCCUCCCAUACUCUCACCAAUUUAGCUUCCAUUAUCUCACCAACAUCAAUUCAAAUUCUUCACUUCAAAUUCUUCACCGUGGAAACCAUCUUCUGUUUUCGUCCCAGGAUAACCAAUUUUCAUGAAUGCAUCUGAUGCUCAUUGAUCUUCUCUCCAAUAACAAUCCGUCAUCUACUUUCUUCUUCCCAAGAACAACCUAUAAUCUACUUCUCAAAAAUCAUUACUGAUAUUUUUGAGACGUGAUCUCAGGCGUACAAUCUGUGGAGUAGUUGCAGCACGUUUUUCUUCCUUCUCUAAUCAGUCACAGAGCACAUCGAGGCUGCACACGACAUGUCCGGUAUGUUUUCAGACAUUCAUUGUCGAUGAAUCCGCUUUCCGAUUUGUUGUUUGUCUUCCGUAUUUAGCCAUGUUUGGGAUUUGCAAGUAAUGCAUCCAUUCCACGAAGACCGUCAUCUCCUUCCGGCGGUACCGGUAAGCCUGCUUUGUCCUUCCUUCAUUGGAACUGUUGUUGUGUGUGCUUUGCAUCUUAUUCUUGCUCUGCCACGGAUCACUACACCUUGGAAUGUUGUUGAAUCUGUUUUCCUGUACAAUUACAUCAAGUGUUUGAUAAAAUGCACCAAUGAAGAAGAUGACUUCCGCAUUCAAAGUAAGGAUGAUAGUUAUUUUAGGGAAUAUUCCAAUUUCAGAUAAUGAUUUUAUUAUAAGUGAUUUUACGGGUCAAAAGCAAAGGCCUGCUAUUAUACACGAUUGUUAAAGGCUAUACUAUCAUUUUAAAGGCAAUUUAAAUUCAGGUGAUGUGAAUAUAGACUCAAAAAUGAGUCUGAUGUUAAUAAAUUUAUCCUAUUGGUGUGAUGCCAAUUUCAAGCAGCUAAUUCCAAUGGUAAUACCAAGCAAAUAUUUGACACUGCUCCUCGAGAUUGAAUGGUUUGACAGGAGAAAACUGUUUGGCAAUCCAAGCACCAACUCAGAGUCGCCCAACACGUGGUCAUGGUGAAUUUUUCUUUGUUCUAUCCCCUAAAUUACUUAUGUGUUUAGAUUUUCUGUUCUCCUUUGUUGUAUUGUAAUUAUAUCCCAUCUGUUAUUUGUCACAUUCAAAUCCAAUUUAAAUACUUAGCAAGUCGUAAGAUAUUUGUUGUGUGGUUUUCGAUGUACUCCUUUGUAUCCUAUUGCAGAUACGGUUUUGAAAGACACAACAAACAAAUAUGUUUUGCCACCUCCGAAGAGGCAGGCUAUGGAGGUCCUUCCAUGUUUUGAUUUGUUCAUCCUUUGUUGUUCUUGAAAUUUUCUAAACAAAAUAUAUGUGUAUGAUCUUUGGUAUGUACAAUAGAUUUGGUUAUUUUUGAUUUAGUCCGUAUAUAAUCAUAUGCUUAUAUAAUACAUGAUAAUAAUUAUUACCAUUAUUUGUUCCUCUUGCUCUUAGAGUCAAGCUUUAUAUUUUUAGAUGAUGAGUUCAUUGCUAAGAUUUUUGAUUCUGUCUAUCAAUGUUAUUAGGCUAUAUGUAUUCUCAUUUCUUAAUGUUGUCAGUUUGAAUAGCCUUUUUGAAUGUGGCUUUUAUGAUAUUUUAGCCAGAUAUCAUCAAUAAACAUAUACACAAUAUCAAAUAUCAUCAAUAAUUUCAGCAUCUUUAUAUAUUUUGCUUUCUUUAUACAAAUAAUUAUUGCCAGAGCCUAAUGUGCCGGUGCGGACAUAUGUGGCAGCCGGGCCACUAAUACCACCAACAUGGGCCUCAAAAUUGUUGUAAUCCAGCACAUGAUGUGCAGAUUAAAUUUGAUUGUUUUAGCAUUAAAUAUAUUGAUUUUUUCCAAAUAAUCUGUAUCUCUUAUCUCUUUAAUAAGUUUGAUGUUGCUUUCAGCUCCACGCCCUCUUACACCGAGUCCUCAUAGCACAAGACAAGGUUAUUGUCAAUAUAUUUCAUGCCUGAUUUUGUUUUUCUAAUACUGACCUUCGCAUUCAUGAGUCUUGCCUUCAAUUUCUUGCAUCUGUAGUCGAUUUACUGCGUCGUUAUGCUAAUUCAGCAAGUUGGUUUGUUUUGUCGUAUUUUAUGACUUCCAUAGACUUGUGGGUUGGAUAUAUGAAUCUUGGUAAGCCAGACAGAGUAUGUGCAAAGUGCAAGGCUCAAAUGUGGAAUGAAGAGAGGAAUAAUAAGUCAUCAAAAAACAGCACACCCACCUUUUCUAUAUGCUGCAAGGACGGUUAGGUGCAGCUACCCCCUGAGAGGCCACCUCCUGCAUAUCUUGCAUCACUUCUGCAUGGCGGUGAGAAGUCUGAACAUUUUAGGCUGAAUAUUCGAGCCUACAAUUCCAUAUUUCAGUUUACUUCUCUCGGUGGAAAAAUUGAUCGUAGAUUGAACAAUGGAGGAGGGCCUUACUGCUUCAAGCUUUGUGGACAGAAUUAUCACAUGAUUGGAAGUCUGAAGCCCAAAGAUGAUGAAACACCUAAAUUCUGUCAAUUAUAUGUUUAUGACACGGACAAUGAGGUUCAGAAUCGAUUGAAUGCAGUCCCUGGAAGUGAUGUUCUUGAUCCUGGAAUUUGUUACUAUAUAUUAUAAUUAAGUGAUGGAAUGGAAUAUUAUGUAUGUUUCUAUUGAUACAUUGUUUGUGUCGUUAAAGAAAUUAUACAGAAAAAAAAUAAAAACUCAUAGCAACUUAAAUACAUAAAUACACACACACACACACACACACACACAAAUAUAUUACAAUACUUCUUAUAAGAUUUAGUCCCAUUGUAUUAUAAACUAAUUUCCUUUUAUAUUUAUUAAUUAUAUGUUAAACUAUAUUUUAUUAUAUUUAUCAACAUCAACAUCAAUCAACAUCAACAUAUUCUAAAUUUGUGCUAGCACUAGGUUUUAUUUUUUACUGAAAUUACCCCUCCAUUUUCUUAGGCGUUCACUAUGUUCUGGGGCAUUUUAGUAUUUUUCCCUUUUUGUGGAUCUUCAAUUACCCAUCGGAUCUGACCCGGACUUCUCCUAUACGAUUUGUACGAGAGGUGCUUACCAUCGGGUCGGUGUUUCUUUACUGGGUUUUGCCCAGUUCUCUGCGGUUUCUUUCACGCUAAUUACGAGGAGUUGGGGUAACUGCUGGCGGAAAUUAUGGCGAGUAUACAUACUUUCCUUUCUUCUGGUGGAAAAAACUUCAGGUCAUGAUAUAUCUACGGCUUUCAAGUCUUCCGGAAAUAGUUGUGUUUUUAAUAGUCAAUCAAUAUCUGGUCAUCGUUUGCCUUAUCUCAAUCAUUCUUUUCCAGAUUUCUCAAUAUGUUGAUGCAUCUAAAUAAUGUACCAUGAAGCGUUCUUCUCUCACGUGGUUUAAUUUAUCUUCACCUGCAUUUAAUCAUGAUAGUGUAGGGGAUUUUGUAGACAGUACACCAACUGCAAGAAAGUUGAAUUUUGUAGUUCUCUGUAUAUUGCUCUCCUCGACCUCUGAUUCUCGCAAGAAACGUUCGUAAAAAACCUUCACUCUUCCAGCGUCUAGGAUUGAUCCGAGCAAAAAAGAGGCGUCUGACAGAGAUCAACAACUAUUGAGGUUUUUCAAUAUCGUUACGACUCUUGGUUUAUGGGUGUCUAACAUAGGGCACAAAGCUACUUGACCUGACUGUAAUUAUCACUCUGGCUCCCACUGCUUCAUUUCCACAUCUGGCCACAGAAGACAGAGCUGCAACAUAUGUAGCUGACUCUUAUCUCACUAAAACAAAAGAUGUAUUUAGUAGCAUUGUUGAAAAGGGUUAUGUUCUAGGUAAAGCAUUAGCUGUUGGAACUUCCGACAAAGUUCAAAAAGUGGAUCAAAUCUAUCAAGUCUCCCAGCAAGUUAAUUCGGCAGUUGCCAAAUCUGCUGUAAUCAGUAACAAGUAUGUAUCCAUAGGGGCUUCAUGGGUGACUAUCACAUGUGAUUCAAUUGCCAAGGCUGCUGCAGAGGUUAGCCAACAUGCUAUGGAGAAAGUGGCACUUGCCGAAGAGGAACAGAGAAGAAAAACGACUGGUGAAGAGGAACAGGGAAGAAAAACCAUGUAGUGCUCUUUAAAAUUAUGCUUCUAACCCCUACAUAGGCUCAUAUAGAAUCUAGAUUCUAGCACAUUGUAUCCAUGCUCCCCUGCCAAUGUUUAAGCAACUGGUAAGGUCAAUUAAAUUAACAGGAUACAUUGUGGAGGUGUCUACUUGCUUGGUUGCGAGUUGGUGUAAUAUUUUUAUCUUGCCCAAGGGGAAAGAGAGAUUAUAAAUGAUUUUAUUCUAUUUUUUGCAUGUAUUUUAUAUUGUUUAUCCGAUUGUAAUAUUUCAUGCAUUAAAAGAAUUUUAAUCUUCAAUAAAAAAAAUUAGUA
RNA transcript from Daucus carota subsp. sativus, 4402 nucleotides. RefSeq lists it as uncharacterized. The transcript has 5 exons. The record is from RefSeq and is a predicted model, not a curated record. Lineage: Eukaryota; Viridiplantae; Streptophyta; Magnoliopsida; Apiales; Apiaceae.